This 433-nucleotide ribosomal RNA is filed under the name uncultured bacterium. Its description in RNAcentral is "partial 16S ribosomal RNA". It matches the Rfam family "Bacterial small subunit ribosomal RNA", at positions 29 to 507 of the family's 1533-position model. The record is from RNAcentral.
AGCGAACGCUGGCGGCAGGCCUAACACAUGCAAGUCGAACGAACUCUUCGGAGUUAGUGGCGGACGGGUGAGUAACACGUGGGAACGUGCCUUUAGGUUCGGAAUAACUCAGGGAAACUUGUGCUAAUACCGAAUGUGCCCUUCUGGGGAAAGAUUUAUCGCCUUUAGAGCGGCCCGCGUCUGAUUAGCUAUUUGGUGAGGUAAAGGCUCACCAAGGCGACGAUCAGUAGCUGUUCUGAGAGGAUGAUCAGCCACAUUGGGACUGAGACACGGCCCAAACUCCUCCGGGAGGCAGCAGUGGGGAAUCUUGCGAAAUGGGGGAAAGCCUGACGCAGCCAUGACGCGUGAAUGAUGAAGGUCUUAGGAUUGUAAAAUUCUUUCAACGGGGACGAUAAUGACGGUACCCGGAGAAGAAGCCCCGGCUAACUUCGUG